Molecule: ribosomal RNA, 253 nt
Filed under: uncultured bacterium
Lineage: Bacteria
Description: partial 16S ribosomal RNA
Rfam family: Bacterial small subunit ribosomal RNA
Source: RNAcentral
GACGAACCGUGCGAACGUUGUUCGGAAUCACUGGGCUUAAAGGGCGCGUAGGCGGCUUGCCAAGUCGGGGGUGAAAUCCGGCAGCUUAACUGUCGAAGUGCCUUCGAUACUGGCAAGCUAGAGGGAGGUAGGGGUCUGUGGAACUUCUGGUGGAGCGGUGAAAUGCGCAGAUAUCAGGAGGAACACCGGUGGCGAAGGCGGGUCUCUGGGCAACAACUGACGCUGAGGCACGAAAGCGUGGGGAGCAAACAGG